AAGCCCACACUGUGUCUAA
RNAcentral lists this unclassified non-coding RNA (19 nucleotides) under Mus musculus (house mouse). Its description in RNAcentral is "oocyte_clustered_small_RNA3109". Lineage: Eukaryota; Metazoa; Chordata; Mammalia; Rodentia; Muridae. The record is from RNAcentral.